RNA transcript from Solanum verrucosum, 1875 nucleotides. It is a transcript of the gene named glyoxylate/hydroxypyruvate reductase HPR3-like, with no coding region annotated. Lineage: Eukaryota; Viridiplantae; Streptophyta; Magnoliopsida; Solanales; Solanaceae. The transcript has 3 exons. The record is from RefSeq and is a predicted model, not a curated record.
GACAAGUUUUGGCAAAGGUUUUAUCCAUUUGAGUUAGGUUUAUAACAUAUCAUUGGUUGGAUCUGAAAAUUUGAUCAGUAAUUCAAUACGCACUCCAAGAAAAUUAGAACAUGGCUUCUUCCGAUCAGCAUCAAUCGCCGGAAACUACCAAUCUCCAGCUAGUUCUCGUCCAUCGCUAUCCGAGAUUUGGAAAUUCGUUCUUAUCCAAACUCCAAACCCGGUACCGGGUUUUCGACCCGGUUGACGAAUCCGACCCAUCACUUCUACCCCUUUCCGGCUCGGUUCGGGUCAUGCUCUGUCUUGGUCCUACUCCGGUCACUUCGGAGACCCUGGAUAAGUACCCUAAUUUGGAGUGCAUCGUGGGUACUAGCGCCGGAUAUGACCAUUUUGACCUCGCCGAGUGUCGCCGCCGUGGCAUCCGCAUCACUGGCGCCGGAGAUUCGUUCUCCGAGGAUGCCGCUGACUUGGCCGUCGGCCUAUUGAUUGACGUCCUCCGUCGUGUAUCUGCUGCAGACCGUUUUGUUCGUGCUGGCUCUUGGCCUGUUAAAGGAAUAUUCCCCCUCGGUUCUAAGGUUGGUGGAAAGCGAGUGGGCAUUGUAGGUUUAGGGAGCAUUGGUUCGAGGAUUGGUAAAAGACUUGAGGCGUUUGGCUGCAGCAUUGCAUACACCUCAAAGAGGAUGAAGCCCAAUGUUUCGUUUCCUUUCCAUUCUAAUAUUCAUGAUCUUGCAAUCAACAGUGAUGUUCUAAUUCUUUGUUGUGCUUUAACAAAAGAAACACACCACAUAGUUGGCAAAGAAGUGCUGACUGCCCUUGGGAAGGAAGGUAUUGUCAUAAAUGUUGGACGAGGGGCACUCAUUGAUGAGGAGGAAUUGGUUCAGUUUCUGAAGAGAGGUGAGAUUGGCGGUGCUGGUCUUGAUGUUUAUGAAAAUGAACCUCAUGUACCAAAAGAAUUGUUUGGGUUGGAUAAUGUGGUGCUGUCUCCACAUGCUGCUGUUGUAACUCCAGAGUCUUUUAAUGCACUUGAAGAGCUAUUCACUUACAACUUAGAAGCUUUCUUUUCAAAUAAACCCUUGCGGGCACAAAUUGAAUGUGAAUGAUGAAAUUUUCUGUUCAACAUGUAAGCAUACAUUCUUUUACUGCUGUGAUCAACUUCAUUAAGUUUCUGCACCAAGUUGAGGGUCACUUUACUCUCCAACAAAACAUGCUGAACAUGAAAAGAUAUGAUGGUGUUGUGUUGCUCAUAUACAAAGGGGUGAUAUUGCUUGAAAUUUUGUUGAUAUGCUUAUUAAAUAAAGACACCGCAGAGGACACAAAAUAGGGGAUCAACAAAUAAACAACCAUCGGAGUAUGACAACCAAGAGAAAUUAUUUAGAUUCUUUAGCAGGAACAUCCUUGAGGACUUUAUGCUCAGUAACAACAUCCUGAUCAUCCUUCUUGAAAACUUUGAGCUCAGCAACUGCAUCCUGCUCGUCCUCCUUGAGAACUUUGCGCUCAGCAACAACAUCCUGAUCAACCUUCUUGAAGGCUUUCUGUUCAACAGCAGAAUCCUGUUUGUCCUCCUUGAGGACUAUGUGCUCCACAAUAAUAUCGCGAUCAUCCUUUUCGGAGGCUUUGUGUACAGCAGCAGAAUCCUGAUCAUCCUUCUUGAAUACUUUCUGUUCAGCAGCAGCAUCGUUAUCAUCCUUCUUGAAAAGCUUGUGUGCCAUAUGCUGUGCAAAGGUGCGAGGUGGGAAUUGAGAUGGCUCAGCCUCGGUGACAGUCUCAGGUAGGGGCUGAAGCAUAAUCUUCUCCUUUGGAGGCUCACAGAAAAUAGCCCAUGAAAUCCUUACUUUCUCUUUGUUCACAACCCCUCUGUGAAGAAUGCUCUUGUACUUU